RNAcentral lists this long non-coding RNA (1828 nucleotides) under Homarus americanus (American lobster). RNAcentral describes it as "uncharacterized LOC121875054". The record is from RNAcentral. Lineage: Eukaryota; Metazoa; Arthropoda; Malacostraca; Decapoda; Nephropidae.
GGCCACCUGUGAGAGGUUUAUAAAAUAAUGUGUUCACGUGGAUACUGGCAGUGAGCGCAGGUGACGGAGCACCAGGGAGGCUGAUAAGUCAUCAGAAGGCGGCCUCUCCUGGCUCACUGACGUCACUGGGGCUACAACUAUGGAUCAAAGUCCAGAGGUGGCGUGUGGCUCACCCCCCAGCAGUACCAGGCAUAGCUGACACUCUGGCAUUGUGGAUAAGUGAAGGUUAUUGCUAUCAUCACCAACCUUACCUAAAAGAUGCCAAGACUACAAGUGUGUGUGUGUGAUGUAGUCUGCUAUAUGACUUGCCUUCCAUGGUACCAGAUGAUAUGACUCUUCGCUGUAGGGAAUAACCAAGAUACCUACAAAAUGAACAAAUUUAUGUCCUUUCAUGAAGAAAAAAUACCCAAAAACAAGAAACAAGAAAAAAAAAUAACAGGAAAGGACCUUAAAUGUGUCGAACUAUAUUAUGAUAUAUGAUGGCUCGUCUGUAUAUCACUACUCAAAUCGUAGUAGUUUAUAUACUUCAGAUAAAACUCUCCACCAAACCACAAUUCCUUUAUAAGUAUCGUUGACAGUCACUGAAUGAUGGCAAACACUCUAUUGCCAUAUCAACUAUAAGCAUAUCAGAAUAAAAUAGUUCACCUGGCAAAUAAUAUACAGUUGAGGACAUUAUCAGAGACACUAUAGAUGAACCCUCAGAAAUCUAUUUAUACGAAUAGAAUGUAUAAGGGUUUCCAUAUCUCCUCGUCUCGACAACAACAUCCACUACAAAUGGACGUUCUCAAUGCUCAAGAAAUCACCAAGACGCGCUGCAAAUCCGACGACCAACAAGGCUACUGAACAUCCCACCUACAUUGAGUUUAGCGAAGCCUUUCCACAUGAAUACUUAGUGUGGAUCAUUUUAACCUCUCAUAGCAACAUAAAAGCUAAGGUCUGCUGGUAUAAUGCUUUCGAGUUACUUAAGCAUUGUAAAGAAUGUUGAGAAUGUGGACCCACGUCGCUACUCUUAUCUGAUGUUUAGUGAUAUCAGGUAAUGAAUGUUUCUCACCAUGCCUGAUACAAGAGUGUAGAGGAGUCUACAAUAUUCAUCGUCAAUAUGAGUCUACUAAUGAGGAUCAUCAUCAGGCUCCACAUAAUGGAUCAAUACUCAUCAUCUUUAGGCUCUGGGAAAAGGAUCAAUAUUCAUCUUCAUAAGGCUCCGGGAAAUAGAUCAAUAUUCUUCAUCAUAAGGCUCCGAAAUAUGGAUCAAUAUUUAUCAUCAUAAGGCUCCGGGAAAUGGAUCAAUAUUCAUCAUCAUAAGGCUUCAAUAUAUGGAUCAAUAUUCAUCAUAAGAGCGUCGGCAUAUGGAUCAAUAUUCAUCAUCAUAAGGUUCCGGGGUGUGGAUCAAUAAUCGUCAUCAUAAGGCUUCAAUAUAUGGAUCAAUAUUCAUCAUCAUAAGGCUCCGGGAAAUGGAUCAAUAAUCAUCACCAUAAGGCUUCAAUAUAUGGAUCAAUAUUCAUCAUCAUAAGGCUCUGGGAAAUGGAUCAAUAUUCAUCAUCAUAAGGCUCCGGGAAGUGGAUCAAUAAUCAUCAUCAUAAGGCUUCAAUAUAUGGAUCAAUAUUCAUUAUCAUAAGGCUCCAGAAAAUGGAUCAAUAUUCAUCAUCAUAAGGCUUCAAUAUAUGGAUCAAUAUUCAUCAACAUAAGGCUCCGGGAAUGGAUCAAUAAUCAUCAUCAUAAGGCUUCAAUAUAUGGAUCAAUAUUCAUCAUCAUAAGGCUCCGGGAAAUGGAUCAAUAAUCAUCAUCAUAAGGCUCCGGGAAAUGGAUAAAUAUUCAUCAUCAUAAGGCU